Molecule: long non-coding RNA, 1766 nt
Filed under: Nicotiana tabacum (common tobacco)
Lineage: Eukaryota; Viridiplantae; Streptophyta; Magnoliopsida; Solanales; Solanaceae
Description: long non-coding RNA (NTAB_LNC009525)
Source: RNAcentral
AACUGCUGACACAAAUAGUGAUACCUUUUAAAAUAAGCCAAUGUUGUAGUUUAAAAAUCAGGUCAGUCAAGUCAGUUCACCGGGAAAAAAUUUGCUAUGCAUUAACCAGAUCGUUCCAAUUGCCAAACUCGUACAAGAUACAAUAAUUGGUCAACAUACAGCCUAAUGAUGAAGAUAAAUACAGCCUAGAUGGACUGAUGAGCACAAUGUUUUGCAGCAAGGUUAGUAACCCUUACACAAGUUGUCAUAAGGCUGAGAUGCCAAUUUGUCGAUUAAACUGUGACAUGAAUAUAAUUAUAGAUGAAAAAAUGGAACCAGAUUUCAAAUAAUCAAAUUCUAACCCCUUCUAAUAAAUAGCACUUAGAGCUGUAACUAGUUCUCCCCCGCGACGGGAAUCAUCUGUUCUUGGCUGAUUUUGAAUGUGGUAGCGUUCCAAACACCUUGUCCCAGAAAGAGGAGGUAAUGCCAAAACCUUUGUUCUGGAUACGAAAAUGAUGAUUCAAGUGAUAUUUCUGUGAAAGGGGCAAAAAAAAUCACCAGUUAGGUUCAUUGAACAGGUUUAGAACACCUUUUCGAGAUUCACAAAUUGAGAUGAAGCUCUCACUUCGAAUCAACCCCCACCCCCAAACCAAAAAAAAAAAAAAAAAAAAACCCACACCUGAGCCCUUCCGUAGAGUACUAAAGAAGGGAUUGGACCACAUACUAAAACCUGAAAUUAAGAUCUCAAUUCUCAAGCACCACAAAUGAGUAUUAAAUAAUUUGCUAUGCUAUUAUAAAAUCUCUGGUUAGUAGUUGGAUAAAAUAGAUUAAAAACCAGCAGGGAUGUAAAAGCAACUCCCCAAAACUGACAAGUCUUACACCUAAAAGGAGACAUCUAGGAAAACUAAAUAAACAAACAGCCACAUGGAAGUCGUAGAGAGGUAUCCACAAACAUAUCCUCUUACCUUAAGACUUUUAGGCACUUCAUUUGUCGGUUGUCCGUGAUGCAAGUAGUAGUGGGUUACAUCAUACAUAACGUAGCCCAAUAGACCGCCUCCAAACAAAGCAGGAGCAGUAGAGGGAGUCGCCAGGAAUUUGAUCAAGUUCCAGAACUGCAAUUACAAAGCACUGUAUCACAAGCUGUGGGAAAGGUAGAUAGUCAUAGCUCUUCAGCAUAUUAACACAAUUCAGCAUUUAGUAUACUUGUGAUCAUUAUCACUUACAAGAAGCAAAUUAUACCGUAGUAGUUUUCAACUUGCUACAUUUAUAUAUAAACUACCAACUUUGACUAGCUGUUGAAGUAGGCUGGCAUUAUAUUCCCUAAGUCACGUUGGCCUUGUUGAAUUUUUUUCAAAAUCAAACUAGAUUUUGUCCAAUGGUUUUCCGUGCGGAUUCAUGUAAUAUUUGAUGUAUAAGCUCUAAAAUUCUAGUUACUUCGAACAUUUUUUUCACUUAAAAGCAGAUUAAGAUGCCUUUGCCAAGGCGUGGUUUGACCUCUGAAAACAGAAUGAAGCAACAAUCAAUGAAUGGAGGCAGUAUUAUCUUUUCAUUUCGCUAAUGGCGCUUUUAAGCAUUAGAAAUUGGGAUCUUUACAUUUGUGUGAAAAUAUUUAAGGAAAAAAACAGGGUUCUCAGUUAAUAUAAAAUGAGGCUGUGAUAUGAAAAUCCAACAUACAGGUAUGCAAAGAACAGCCGUUGCAGCAGGUGGAAAAACAAGCCUUAGACCAUCCAUGGGAUGCUUAUGAUGACAGCCAUGAAGAAGAUAAUGAGCUGUGUUUCCCCUGUAAC